RNAcentral lists this ribosomal RNA (244 nucleotides) under uncultured bacterium. RNAcentral describes it as "partial small subunit ribosomal RNA". It matches the Rfam family "Bacterial small subunit ribosomal RNA", at positions 26 to 285 of the family's 1533-position model. The record is from RNAcentral.
AGAAUCAACGCUGGCGGCGUGCCUAACACAUGCAAGUCGAACGAGAAAGGGUAGCAAUACCUGAGUACAGUGGCGCACGGGUGAGUAACACGUGACUAACCUACCCUUGAGUGGGGGAUAACUGAGGGAACCUUAGCUAAUACCGCAUAAUACCUACGGGUCAAAGGAGCAAUUCGCUUUAGGAGGGGGUCGCGGUCGAUUAGUUAGUUGGCGGGGUAAUGGCCCACCAAGACUGUGAUCGAUA